This 869-nucleotide ribosomal RNA is filed under the name uncultured bacterium. RNAcentral's name for it is "bacterial SSU rRNA". It matches the Rfam family "Bacterial small subunit ribosomal RNA", at positions 1 to 866 of the family's 1533-position model. The record is from RNAcentral.
GCCCUUGAGUUUGAUCCUGGCUCAGAUUGAACGCUGGCGGCAUGCCUUACACAUGCAAGUCGAACGGUAACAGGUCUUCGGAUGCUGACGAGUGGCGAACGGGUGAGUAAUACAUCGGAACGUGCCCGAUCGUGGGGGAUAACUACUCGAAAGAGUGGCUAAUACCGCAUACGAUCUACGGAUGAAAGCAGGGGACCCGCAAGGGCCUUGCGCGGACGGAGCGGCCGAUGGCAGAUUAGGUAGUUGGUGGGAUAAAAGCUUACCAAGCCGACGAUCUGUAGCUGGUCUGAGAGGACGACCAGCCACACUGGGACUGAGACACGGCCCAGACUCCUACGGGAGGCAGCAGUGGGGAAUUUUGGACAAUGGGGGCAACCCUGAUCCAGCCAUUCCGCGUGAGUGAAGAAGGCCUUCGGGUUGUAAAGCUCUUUCAGCUGGAACGAAACGGUACGCUCUAACAUAGCGUGCUAAUGACGGUACCAGCAGAAGAAGCACCGGCUAACUACGUGCCAGCAGCCGCGGUAAUACGUAGGGUGCGAGCGUUAAUCGGAAUUACUGGGCGUAAAGCGUGCGCAGGCGGAUUGUUAAGCAAGACGUGAAAUCCCCGGGCUUAACCUGGGAAUGGCGUUUUGAACUGGCAGUCUAGAGUGUGUCAGAGGGGGGUAGAAUUCCACGUGUAGCAGUGAAAUGCGUAGAGAUGUGGAGGAAUACCAAUGGCGAAGGCAGCCCCCUGGGAUAACACUGACGCUCAUGUACGAAAGCGUGGGUAGCAAACAGGAUUAGAUACCCUGGUAGUCCACGCCCUAAACGAUGUCAACUGGUUGUUGGGGGAGUGAAAUCCCUUAGUAACGAAGCUAACGCGUGAAGUU